UACGGGGGGGGCAAGCGUUGUUCGGAAUUACUGGGCGUAAAGGGCUCGUAGGCGGCCAACUAAGUCGGAUGUGAAAUCCCCAGGCUUAACCUGGGAACUGCAUCCGAUACUGGAUGGCUUGAAUCCGGGAGAGGGAUGCAGAAUUCCAGGUGUAGCGGUGAAAUGCGUAGAUAUCUGGAGGAAUACCGGUGGCGAAGGCGGCAUCCUGGACCGGCAUUGACGCUGAUGAGCGAAAGCCAGGGGAGCGAACGGG
This 253-nucleotide ribosomal RNA is filed under the name uncultured bacterium. RNAcentral describes it as "partial 16S ribosomal RNA". It matches the Rfam family "Bacterial small subunit ribosomal RNA", at positions 524 to 776 of the family's 1533-position model. The record is from RNAcentral.